UGCGUAGGCCGCACGGUAAGUCAGAGGUGAAAUCCCGGAGCUCAACUUCGGAAUUGCCUCCGAUACUGCCGUGCUUGAGGACUGGAGAGGAGUCUGGAAUUCACAGUGGAGCAGUGAAAUGCGUAGAUAUUGUGAGGAACACUAGUGGCGAAGGCGAGACUCUGGACAGUUCCUGACGCUGAGGCACGAAGGCCAGGGGAGCAAACG
RNAcentral lists this ribosomal RNA (207 nucleotides) under uncultured bacterium. Its description in RNAcentral is "partial 16S ribosomal RNA". It matches the Rfam family "Bacterial small subunit ribosomal RNA", at positions 568 to 774 of the family's 1533-position model. The record is from RNAcentral.